Long non-coding RNA from Homo sapiens (human), 641 nucleotides. Lineage: Eukaryota; Metazoa; Chordata; Mammalia; Primates; Hominidae. The record is from Ensembl.
CAGCGUCACUGUCAAGUCACAUUGGUCAUUAUGAAUUGUGUAAAUGCCCUUGGGGAUUAGCUGAGCAGAGAAGAAUGAAGUUAUACGGCAAAUGAUCAAGAGGAAUAAUUGACAUCAGACUAAAAUGUGAUUCUCAACCUUGCCUAGAUAUUGGAAUAACUUGAAGUGCUCUCUCUCCAAAUAUGAUACGUAGGCCCCAAGACUGGAGAUUCUGAUGUAAUCAGCAUCAGGAUUUUCUUAAAGUUCUCUUAGAUACUGUGCAGCCAAACUGAGAACCACUGCACUAGAACAAUGUUUCCUCUCCUAGGUCAUAAGAAUUAAUUGGUAGUCUUGUUUAAAAGUGUAGAUUCUCAGGCCCAACGUAAGACAUGCUGAAUCAGUCAGUCCCUUCAGUGUCUUUGAAUCUUUUAUUUUUUUUUUUAAUGAAGGCCCCCAAAUGAUUCUUCAGGAAAGUUUGUAAAUGCUUCCUUAGGCUCUAUGCUCUGCUGGAAAAAGUGUUAUGAUCUGUCCUUCUCACCUGUACCCCUACGGCAUAGCAUAGACCCUAGAUCAUAUCAUGUAUUCAAUAAGUAUUUGAUAUUAUUUAAUUAAUUGACAUUUUUCAAGUGCAAAUGAGUAAAAAUAAUUGAUAAAAUUUAAAA